CCCUUCCCUUCCCUUCCCUUCCCUUCCCUUCCCUCUCUUUUUUUUCUUUUUCUCAGAAGUUCGGCAGUAGUUCCUAUAAUAAAUAGGCGCCUGAGAAGCAUGAGAGUAAAGCUGCUAUUUAAUCUGGAACCAGCUCUGUUUACCUCUUGGAGAAUAAUGUCAGCUCUUGGCAAAGGCACCCAUGUUACUAGAAUUGUUCAGCUGACCUCACCGUUUCUAGGAUAUGAAAUGCUGAAUAAUAGGAUAAGAGAAGCAAGAGAUAGAAGAUAUCUACAGAGUUCUCUUCAUUUUCCUGCAAAUGAAGGCUGUGGCUUUACACUCUUGGCCUCUGAAAAAUAUACAUAAUUUGCUGGACAGUUGUAAUUGGUUUCUGUGAAGCAGAAAAGCUGUUGAUGCUUCAUUCAGUUCUACAUUUGUUUGAAGGAAGACCUCCAAGCAGCAAAAGAAUUCAUCUGAAUUUUUACACCAGUAAAUGACUGUUAAACGUGAUGUAUUCUUAGUCACUAUGUAUAUGUGUAUCUAGUGCUAGGCAAUAAAAGAUAAGCCAACAGACAUGCAAGCAUUAUCAUAUGAUAUUAGCAAAAUUACUCUCGCAGCAAGAAGAAUCAGUGUGUUAAGCAACUUUAUCCUGGAAUUUGGGCAUCUUUACUCUUCCAUUCAAAAAUCUGCUAAGUCUUCUUCUAAGGAUUCUGAGUGUUUGUCACUAGCAUUAGGCCCUCUCUAUCCAUAUGGUCUUUAGAAAAUGAAGCUUUGAAUAUUUGUUUCAGAUUCUAGCUGCUCCACAUUGCGUUCUGAAAAGUGUCCUCAGACUCAUUAAAUCUACAGGGCUUGGAAGCUCUCCUUGUGGUUACGGCACGAACAAUAUUGCAUGUGAGACCAGAGUACUCUAACUCUUUGGCAUGAGGUGCAGUGCAUGCAACAGCUUAGCAGCAGUCCCAGAAACAUCUCUUAACACGUCUCCUGUUUUUCAGCUUCUGACAAAAAGGUGUUUUUUUUAAAAGUUAGAAGUUAAACAGAUGUCCUUGGAGAGACUGAAGAUGAAAAUAUUUCUCGAGCAAUUUCACACAGAGAAUGGAGGCUUUUGGUAGGUUUCUACAGGUAGUGAGGAACAGAGCUGCCUUGCGGUUUUCUGAAUUUGUGGGUAAAACAUGAUAUAGUACUUGAUGCUGAAUGCUUAGACACAUAGAGGAUAAAGUCCUAUAGCACUAAAUUUCCCAAGGCCAAGAGGAGACAGUGCUUGUACAAAUGUGCAUAAGCCAGCUGGGCUGCUGCACUACUUCAGUUGCUUUUGACUCCAAGUGGAGAUCCAGAGGCUCUUUGAAAUCCAUGAUUUUGAACCUUUUUUCAGAGAAGUUGUGAGUGCCAGUAAAUAAAUAGCAGAUAAAGUAGAGACAACUUCUGCGCCACUGUUGAUGGUUGGCAGGGAAAAGCAGAAAGAAAUAUUAAGUAGGAAAUUAUUAGUUGGUGAAGGAAAGGGGAAAAAAGGGAAUCUUUUCAUUCCUUAAGCUGCUCGUUUCUUGAAUUUAACACAGCUAACCUGAAAUGUUCUUUUUUUUUUUUUUUUAAACUCUGCCUCUCAUUUGCCUUUGCAUUACUUUCAUCUUGAGUGUGAAAUUCCAAGUUACUGUGAAAAAGCUGCCCUAGGAAUAUUCUUGGCAAUACUGCAAGCAGAAAGUACAGGAAACCUCACAAAAGAGUUUGUUCCAGCAACGCUGCCAUCCACGUUUCACAGCUGCAAGGACGUUGAAAGUAGCAUAGAAGAGAUUCAGAUUCCACUAAUGGAAAGUUUUGGAAAAGAAUUGAUUGAGAGACAUUGCCACAGCUUGCUCAAAAAUGAGACAGAGCAUUUUCAUUACUCCUGAAGGCUUUUAUUCUAGACAUACAAAAGUACCCCAUUAGUCAGUCAAUUUACUGUGGACUAAUUCUCUAUCAUUUGGUUGAUUCCCACCGUGAGCACAUUGAUCACAUUUAAUACUUUGUAAGCUGAGAUUGAGAAGGUGAAAGCAGCAAUACAACCAGAGUCCCAUUUCCAUAUUUUGAAGUAAAGAAUCAAUCUUGCAUCAUGGAUGAAUUUAUUUCCUUACAGACAGUGGUGGGUUUUCCACCCUGUGCACUGCCAACUUUCUUCAAGACUGAUGUCACCUGCACCUAAUGACAAUGAGAGUACAUCUAGCUAUAAACAGCUCUCUGAAUAACCUGCUGACUGUUUUUCCUGUGGAUGACAAACCAAGUUCUCUUGAUGGAGUGAUGCUGAGGUCGCCCCUGCUUUUAUUCCACUCGGUGAAGAACCAUUACAUAAGGGUUACUUCAGUCGCUGUCAGCAUAGACUGUAUUUGGACAAGUGUAACAGAAAGGCCUGCCCUCCUUCCCUUGCUCUGUAAGCCAUCCAGUUGCUCAUCCACCCUUAUUCUGAAUAACGAUGAUUAGCAAAAUAAUUACUGAAAUUGUUGGUUUUGCCCCACAACGGAAAAUGCUCCCAUUUGGUCAGAUGUCUUGCUGUGAAACUUCUGUCUGUGUUGCAAGCAAGGGAAUGCUGCAGGGCUGGGCUGCUGAAAACACUUGCCCUGAAGUGACAAAGUGGAAGCAAUAGGCAUCACUCGGCACAAGAGGUCCAAGGUAUGGCAGGAGAGAAGGAAGGAAGUAAAACUAAAGGACUGAUGGGAUCAUCUUUAAUUUGCUUUGUAAACAGAGAACAGGAAAGAUCAUUACAGUAGCCUUUUGUACCAUGUAAGCAGGGAGAACAAAUAUCACGUUACAUACAACUGAUACGUAGUGGUCACAUUGCCAGCUGCGCCCGUAUCGAGAUCACUACAACAGUAGCUAUUCUGUGGAGCUGGAGAUAACACAGCAAGGAAAUGUUGGGAACUGCUGGCACUCCUGCAAAUAAGUAUAACAAAACCAAAAGGAAAGAAAAGGAGUUUCUUGUGCUACUGAUUUACAUUUUGCAAAGUAACUCUAUUGGAAAAGGAAGUCAAAACUUCCCUUAUUCAAAUAGUUUUGUUCCAGUGAACUAUCCUUAAUUCAAGGAAUCCCUUUCACUUGACAUUAUUCUUUGGGCAGUAAGUACGUGUGUAUUUGUUGCUCUGAAUAUUCUGAAGUGUGCUGCAUGCAGUGUGCACAGAGGUAAGAAAUAGCAUUCUGACAAAGUUAGAUUAGUCUGAAGGCCAGCUGCUUGGAAGUUGCACAUACCAUUGCUCUUAUUCACUUUUCUCUUACUGUUAGCACUCCCUGCUGAUUAGGUCACUAUACCAGUUACUCCAUUCCUCCUCCGCUUGCUUUUAAAACCUUAUAACUGUGUUUUUCUCAAAAGUCUCCCUUCCCAGUCAACACUGUCUCAACACUAGCCUAUGCACUGAUUCAAGAUCCUCCCCUUUUCUGACCACAACUUUUCUCCCCUCUUCUGUUCUGCCUGCCCAAACUAGUGCCAUGAAAAUAUUUUCCAUUUCUCACCUCUCUGAGAAUGUUGCCCUGCUUCUCAGCAUUGACCUAUUUCCACCCUAAAACUCAAAUGUGUUUCUUUUCUCGGCUCUGAAUAACUUCAUUGCUACUUGGAUCUGACCUCAUCUCCUCUCGGAAAGCCAGUCAGUCUCUGAUGUUGGGAGUGUCUGUGUGGGGGGACCAGGGUGCAUUGUAAUUGAUUUCCUUCUUUAACUUUUUCCAUCAGCAGAGUGCUUUGAAACUAAAUGUACUGCAGAUGAAAUUACUCCAGUCACCUCCUUGGUUUGUUUUGGAAGUGCUUGCAUGUAUUUAUAAAACAAUCACCAAAAAACAUUAAGAUUCAGCCCUACAUAAAUGACUAUAUACGAUUUCCACUGAACGAAAAGAAGUGCCUUGAACUUUACUGUGUGUCUUUGAAUCUCCUCUGUCCCUGGUUAGACCAGCCAAGGAGUUACCCUCUGCUGUCAUUAAUGGCAGUGAUACCAACAGGCAUUUACUUGGGUAACUUAAUGACUGAAGCACAUCAUCUCUUUGCUGUUCCUUUUCACUCUUUUCCUGUUCUAGAUCUUACUGAGAUGCAAUACUGGAUUCAUAAGACCAACACAUAUCACAGCAAGUCUGCAGCAUUUCGAAGUUGCCUGCAAUUUCCAGUGCCUGUUUAACACAGUCUGUUUAAAGCAUGGGGAGCACAACAGAGUAGAGAAUGCAGAUCCCUGUGUUUUGUACUGGAAUUGUAUACCUGUGAGCUUUUAUGGAAUAUGUCAACAGACUGCAGUUAAUUCAUAAUUGUGGUGAUACUGAGGUUGUCAUAUUCCACUCUUCCAGAUGCAUAUAUUUAUCUUGAAUUUAUAUCACAAGAUAACACAACAAUCAGACCUCUCACCACACCAGAAAAAAAUGCGUAUAUUCCUCAGAUUCUAUCACAACCUAACCAAAAGUAACACCCCCCCUGGAAAUUCUGGAGGCAGUUAUAUUUUUCCUUCUUGAGUCCCGCCGACGUGCAGUCAAUGACCCUCAAGGCUGGUGCUGAAAUUUCCAGAAACAUUUGGAAAGCAACCACAGAAAUAAAUCCAACAAACCGAACCCUUGAAGAGCAGUAACAGAAGCUACAGAAGCACAGUGGAGCCAGCACCCACUCAUCAUCACGGCUUUUCUCCACUCUCACAGCUUCCACCACACAUGCCACCUCCAGCACAACACCUCCAAAACUGCUGGCCUCUCUGCUCACACUUUGACCUUCUGCAGCUCUGCUAGGUUAAGUUGCGAUGAACCUGAAGCAGUGGGUGUGUCACUGAAAUGAUUGAUAUACUUGUAUUUGUCAUAACUAUCUUCCCUGAAGUGAUUUCAUUGCUUGAAUGAGUGACCUGAGCACUGUCAGCUGUAGCCUUAUAUGGACAAUCUAUAGCCUUAUUCAAACAAGACUUUAUCAGACAUUUUCCAAAAUUAACUGGAGUUUCUGGGGUCUGAUUGGAUUCAUUUUGUUGUUUCUUUUCCUUUAACUUUUCGUGGAGGUGCUCUGUCAACCAAAUGCAUCUCCCCAACAUCUUACUCAUGACUGACUUCUACUUGGAGACAUCUUUCGCACUCUUUCUCAAAGAGAACUGGGGAGAAAUUUAAUAAUUUAAUAAGGCCUGGGGCAAUGGCCAUUUCAGAUAAAUUUGUAACAUUUAUUUCUAUAUUUAUGUAUGUUUUGGACUAGUUUUUUUUUUUGUUAAUAUUGGAAACUUUGAGCAAAGAAAGUCUGAAAGUUAUUAAGCGUAAAAUAUGUUAGUCAGCUGAUUGGGAUGAAAAUCCAGACCACUUCAGUAGCAUCUUGGAAUCAUUCAGAUUUAAUUAUGGACAUUAACAUCAAUGUUUUUUGUUUGUUUGUUUGUUUGAUAUAUGAAUUUUUUUCUUAAUUUUCUUUUCUUUUUUUUUUUGUGCUUAUCUGUUCCUCACUGUACCCUCUCACCACAACAUAAUAGUGUACAUAUGUGUGUGCACACCCUGAUCUAUAGUUGUUGACAGCGUUUGGGAUAUCAGCUCCUGGACCUUGUAUGUAGCAAAUAAGUGUACGCAGUUUACAGUCUAGUGAGGUCUUGUAUAACUCACUCUAAGUGCUUUUGUGGCUGUGGUGCCCAGAAGAGAAGUGCAGUCUGGAGAAAUCAUUUCUGUCUUCCUGCUACAAAACACUUUUGAGGUUCAGCAGUAAUCUUCUCAACAUGGCUGCUUAAAAAUAUUGACAGCCUAACACGUCAAAGCUUUAUCUUCACUGUGCUCACCAGGAGGUCCACUGAAAACAGGGAAAGGAAACCCCUUUUACCUUUAGUAGGUAUUGGGAAAACGUCCUUAUUCAAUGCAGAGAGAAAUGGUGAUUUGCCUGCCGAGAAAGGUAGCUGAUGGUAAAACCAAUAAUAAACUAGCUGCUAAAUGACUGUUUUGAGAAGUGUCCCUUCCCCUUUUUCAAAAACACAUUGCAGCUGUGCAGUAAUGUUCCUAAGUGGUACAGCUUGUAAUGGCUUUGCUGAAACAUUGAAACAGUCUGAACCCUUUCUAUAAAUCACUGGUCUUUUUGAGUUGGAUGUGAAGAUUUACCACAGUACUACUUUGAGCAGUGGUAUUUGUUGACUUUGUCACAGGAUCUGAAUUCCCGGUUUGGCAUCCCACUGAUAAGGUCUCAAUCAUUAAGUUCAUUAUACAGCAACCUUCUGCAUUCCUGUCUGUGUUUUGCUCUUCUGUGUUUUGCUCUUCCUUCCUGACUUCCAGUCCUUACUCAAUUGAGUAAUUCGUCCACAGCCUGCAGCAGUUUCUUCUUCUUCUUUUUUUUUAUUUAAUAUCUAUCAUUCAAAUCAAUGUCAUCCCAGUCAGUGGCAAAAUGUAUAAUUCUUGGAAUUGGAAUAAUUCUUGCAUGUAUGGAAAGCUGUGUAAUUUUUAUUUUAUUUUAUUUUUUGCUAGCAAUUCAUAGAUAAACACUCAGAUCAAAAUUGAAGUGACUUAAAGAGAAACAACCCUCUUCAUAAGCAUUAUUUUAGAGGAACAUUCUCAGUUAAAAAUACCCUCAAAAGAAGAUAAAAACAUAUUAUUUAAAGUUCUGAGAUGAAACUUGUAUCUCAUUAGAGCUUUUUUUUUCCGUUCCAGUGCAGACAAAUUAAAACAUUUCAUUUUUGCUAAGCCUGUAUUUUUGUCCUUGCCACCAAAAAACAAAAAUAAAAAAAAAUAAAAAUAAUUUUUCACCUAGUUCUCCCUGUGGAGCUUCUAGGGGUAGGAGGUAAAUGGCCUGCAGUGUCUGCUACGCUGUCAGGAGCAAUGCUUUUUUAGGCCAGAGAGAAGUCUUGGUCCUCUGCACAACAAGAGCAUGACAGAAUCACUGAGCUAUCAAAUCAGUUAUUCUGCCAACAUCUUUCUGCUUCACUGAAGAGUAAAUUAAUCCUACGUAGGAGCACUCCAGCAGGAGAAUAAGAGAGAGCACACACACUGCCAUAGUUGAGUAGUAAGGUGCUUGUCAAAUGUGUAAAUAAUAGGUAAAUAAUUAAUUUUCUUUGGGGAACCUUCAAGGAUCUACUUCUCUGAGUGCUUAUGCACACAUGGCAGAACAAGUGCAGCAAGGGAUUGAGCAAGAGAACUUCCCCACGCGAAGAAAACAUGCCCUAAGUCAGACCUCUCAGCAGCUCCACCUCGGCUCUUUCCAACUUGGUGGAGACCUGCAGUGGCUGCAGCUGGCCCCAGUUUCUGGAGAUGGCAGCUGGGGCUCUUGACCAGAAGGUGCUUGGGAGGCAGCUGCUCCAGCAGAAGGCACAAAGACACACCUUGGACCACGAUCAGCGCUUGGAAAUGAAAGCACGUGGGCUACAUUGAGUGCGUCUUCCAUACUGACUAGGUGACGCUACCUUUGUUACUGUGCACCAAAAUCUUUAUUUAGAAAAGGAACAGCUCCAAUGUGGAAACAAAAAAGGUCCAACAAAUGGCACAACAGAUAACUUAGUGCUGACCUGACAUCUGUUGCCUCCAGCUCACUUCGGUCUGCUGGACUUGAGGCCACUCAUGGCAGGAAGAGCAGCUGAGUGUCCCUGUUGCUGUGUGCCUCCUGUUCCAAAUUAGUAUUUCUGCAGCAAUAUGUAAAAGCAUUGAGGUCUAUCGAUUACAAAACAGUUUCCUGUGCAAGCUCCUAUUAAAGAACCAUUACAGAAAGCUUAGCCUUGACUUUGAGCUGAAGCCCCCAAGUGGAGCUUUUUGGGAAGAAACGACUCUUUCUUUCCAUGGGGAACUCUCCCUCUUUGCCACCUCAGAGCACAUUUUCCCAGCAUUCUCUACAGUUAGUCGUGGGGAAAGCAUGGAUCAUUUCAUACCCAAAGGUGAAAAGGCAGAAGUGCACCCCUUUCAGACUCAGCAGUCACAGUACUUUAACAAGCUAGCUAAUGGAGUGCCAAACCAUUGCAGUGAACUGCGAACCCAAAUAUCUUAUCCUCUGUGAUUUCUUACUUGAUCCUUUUGUCUGUUCUUACACCUCUCCUUGUUCCCAUAUAUUUGUGUGAUAUUGUGAUUAACCUCCAUUUUUCCCACUGGCUUCAUAUAUUCAUAUUUCUAUCCACUUUCACAUUGAUUUUUUUUUGUUCCUGACACCAAUAACUGUUUUACCUUCUUUCAAUUUGCCUUUACUUACUCCUUUUUUCUUAAAAUAAGCUUUUCUCUCUCUGUUCCCUGUCCUCUUCCUUUGUUAUGUGUCUGUGAUUCUCCAUUCCUAUCACAAAACUCAUUUACUGUUCCUUCUCAUUUCUCACUACACAGGCGAUGUAACUCCAUCAGCCACAGCUCCACUGCACUGAUUUCCCCUUUCUAUCUGCUGUCUAGCAUCUUUCCCUUCCUAUCUCCCACGCGGCACUUUUCCUUUCUAUUUUGUUUCUAGUUCAGAAUCUCUCCUCUGACUUUCCCAUUGUACUCCUACCCGCCGCCCUUUCCCUGCUGAUCAUGUUAACAGAAAUGUUGAGCUUUGUUGUCUUAUUGCACAGAUCUCAGCUUCUUUCACCUCCUCCUUACUUGUUACAUCAAGCCCUCCACCACUCUCCUGGCCCAACCAGGGCUGAGUGUUAGGUGUUAUCCAUGCAAGCCUCUCUAGAGCAGCAUAAGGCAGAGGUACUUUCAGUGUGCUGCUAAGGAGACCGUUGCUUGCUAACCAGUGAGUUCUGCCAAUCUGGGUCACAUUUUAUAUCAACAAGAUAUGUAUACGUUAUUGAUCAAAUUACAGUUCUUGAGCUUUAUUGCCAUAUGCACCUGUAACUGCAUCAAUGUUCACAGUCACUCACCCUGGGGCAGUAAAGCUUUGCCACAGAAAUACUUGAGAAGGACCACAGGCUGCCAUUUAAGACCAUCUGGUCCUAAGCUGUAUUUCUCCAAACCCGUGGUUACUCAGGUAUCAAGGCCAUUUUCCAUCUAGACCUCUGCUGUAAGUGGCCACUCAAUUUGUCCAAGAGCUAAAUACACAGUAUUCCUAUCAGAGCUCAUAAUGAGCGUACACGAAUGACCUUUCAAAAGCUCUCUAACUCCUUCAAAACACAAGCAGAGAGAAAAUCUGUAUUGGUGAGAUCAGAAAUAAAAUGAAAACCUCACUUUGCCUGAAUAAAAAAGCCAUAUACAGGAAAGCCCUUGAUGAAUAGCAUACUUUUAACAAAAAUACAAUUUCCUUUUCCACAAUAAAUGCUGUUUCAGAUUCUGAAAUUAAGUGCUUGUUCCACUGAGCUGUAACUUUUUGUUAAGCUGAAGAGACGUUAUAGGAACAGCUAUUCCGUUUCUUACAGAUUUCAGCUAUUUACAGUUCUCUUUUAAUAUAUAUAUUUUUUUUUCUGGAGAAGAGAAACACGUUCUGAGAUUUUCUUUAAGCCUUUUUUGGUUCAUUAUGGAAGUCUGACUUUCUGCAUCCAUUAGAGCAACCAUAGAUGAACUACUUUUGCGGCCUUAGGGAAACCUGAACCUGGAGCCAGCUUUUAGAAUUCACUGACAGGGCCAAGUCCUUGGCCGCCAUGGCAGAGGCUCUGGUCCGCUCAGAAAGUUUGGAGAAUUUAUGAAGGACUUAAGUGGCAGCUACAAAUUAUGGUUCUGUUUCAGCUCAAGAGUGAACUGCAUUUAAGGGAUCAUUGUUGUAACAAGAAGAAAACUUCCCAGCUCAAGUGUUUCCAAGCUAUUAAUCAUUUCCCUAGUAUCUGUCCCCCUGGAAAUUCUCCAAGUCCUUAUGAUACUGAUCUUGUAAACAAUUAUUUUCUUUCCUGAACUCCUGUAAUAAAAUUCAU
Numida meleagris (helmeted guineafowl) is the source of this 9698-nucleotide long non-coding RNA. RefSeq lists it as uncharacterized. The record is from RefSeq and is a predicted model, not a curated record. NCBI's taxonomy places the organism in Eukaryota, Metazoa, Chordata, Aves, Galliformes, Numididae. The transcript has 6 exons.